GGUUAAGCGACUAAGCGUACACGGUGGAUGCCCUGGCAGUCAGAGGCGAUGAAGGACGUGCUAAUCUGCGAUAAGCGCCGGUAAGGUGAUAUGAACCGUUAUAACCGGCGAUUUCCGAAUGGGGAAACCCAGUGUGAUUCGUCACACUAUCAUUAACUGAAUCCAUAGGUUAAUGAGGCGAACCGGGGGAACUGAAACAUCUAAGUACCCCGAGGAAAAGAAAUCAACCGAGAUUCCCCCAGUAGCGGCGAGCGAACGGGGAGGAGCCCAGAGCCUGAAUCAGCAUGUGUGUUAGUGGAAGCGUCUGGAAAGGCGCGCGAUACAGGGUGACAGCCCCGUACACAAAAGCGCAUGUGCUGUGAGCUCGAUGAGUAGGGCGGGACACGUGGUAUCCUGUCUGAAUAUGGGGGGACCAUCCUCCAAGGCUAAAUACUCCUGACUGACCGAUAGUGAACCAGUACCGUGAGGGAAAGGCGAAAAGAACCCCGGCGAGGGGAGUGAAAAAGAACCUGAAACCGUGUACGUACAAGCAGUGGGAGCACAGGUUUACCUGUGUGACUGCGUACCUUUUGUAUAAUGGGUCAGCGACUUAUAUUCUGUAGCAAGGUUAACCGUAUAGGGGAGCCGGAGGGAAACCGAGUCUUAACCGGGCGUUAAGUUGCAGGGUAUAGACCCGAAACCCGGUGAUCUAGCCAUGGGCAGGUUGAAGGUUGGGUAACACUAACUGGAGGACCGAACCGACUAAUGUUGAAAAAUUAGCGGAUGACCUGUGGCUGGGGGUGAAAGGCCAAUCAAACCGGGAGAUAGCUGGUUCUCCCCGAAAGCUAUUUAGGUAGCGCCUCGUGAAUUCAUCUCCGGGGGUAGAGCACUGUUUCGGCUAGGGGGCCAUCCCGGCUUACCAACCCGAUGCAAACUGCGAAUACCGGAGAAUGUUAUCACGGGAGACACACGGCGGGUGCUAACGUCCGUCGUGAAGAGGGAAACAACCCAGACCGCCAGCUAAGGUCCCAAAGUCAUGGUUAAGUGGGAAACGAUGUGGGAAGGCCCAGACAGCCAGGAUGUUGGCUUAGAAGCAGCCAUCAUUUAAAGAAAGCGUAAUAGCUCACUGGUCGAGUCGGCCUGCGCGGAAGAUGUAACGGGGCUAAACCAUGCACCGAAGCUGCGGCAGCGACACUCAGGUGUUGUUGGGUAGGGGAGCGUUCUGUAAGCCUGUGAAGGUGGCCUGUGAGGGUUGCUGGAGGUAUCAGAAGUGCGAAUGCUGACAUAAGUAACGAUAAAGCGGGUGAAAAGCCCGCUCGCCGGAAGACCAAGGGUUCCUGUCCAACGUUAAUCGGGGCAGGGUGAGUCGACCCCUAAGGCGAGGCCGAAAGGCGUAGUCGAUGGGAAACGGGUUAAUAUUCCCGUACU
RNAcentral lists this ribosomal RNA (1407 nucleotides) under Salmonella enterica. RNAcentral describes it as "partial 23S ribosomal RNA". It matches the Rfam family "Bacterial large subunit ribosomal RNA", at positions 1 to 1445 of the family's 2925-position model. Lineage: Bacteria; Pseudomonadati; Pseudomonadota; Gammaproteobacteria; Enterobacterales; Enterobacteriaceae. The record is from RNAcentral. RNAcentral also lists the same sequence under 4 other names.